RNAcentral lists this transfer RNA (76 nucleotides) under Florenciella parvula. It matches the Rfam family "tRNA", at positions 5 to 66 of the family's 71-position model. Rfam says of the family: Transfer RNA (tRNA) molecules are approximately 80 nucleotides in length. Lineage: Eukaryota; Dictyochophyceae; Florenciellales. The record is from RNAcentral.
ACAUAGCUCAGUUGGUAGAGCGGUUGACUGUAGUUGAAUGCACCCAUCAAUUGGUCACCGGUUCGAUUCCGGUUGU